UACGAAGGGGGCUAGCGUUGUUCGGAAUCACUGGGCGUAAAGCGCACGUAGGCGGAUUUGUUAGUCAGGGGUGAAAUCCCGGGGCUCAACCUCGGAACUGCCUUUGAUACUGCAGAUCUCGAGUCCGGAAGAGGUGAGUGGAAUUCCUAGUGUGGAGUUGAAAUUCGAAGAUAUUAGGAAGAACACCAUGGGCGAAGGCGGCUCACUGGUCCGGUACUGACCCUAAGGUGCAAAGGCGUGGGAGCAAACAGG
This 252-nucleotide ribosomal RNA is filed under the name uncultured bacterium. RNAcentral describes it as "partial 16S ribosomal RNA". It matches the Rfam family "Bacterial small subunit ribosomal RNA", at positions 524 to 776 of the family's 1533-position model. The record is from RNAcentral.